UUAUAUUUGUGACAAAAAUUUUUUUAUUGUUAUCCUAAUCAUUUUCUCGGCUAUAAAUACAAAAAAAGAUACAUACAAUAUCACAAGAAACUGACAUCACACUUUAAUUUCAAUUUUUUAUUUGUUAGCCGGAUAUUUAUACUUUCCAAUAAUCUAAGUAAUUAUAUAAUCUCAUACAUCCUUGUAUUAAUUAACAAACAUAGAUAAAGUCAAGUUGUAAUAUUAGUAAUACAUGACGUAAUUUGUUACUCGUCACCUAACAAUGGACAUCAUAUAUUAUAUAAAGGAAGACUUUACUCUCUCCUCUUUAUGCCACCUCAUCAAUUCAAACAUUCUCGUGUCUUUUCGUCCCAACCCGCUGUGUUUCAAUUGUGUUCGAUGUGCAUCCGUUUGAGUUUUAUUUUAUUUUUUUGGCCUUCGUGUUUCAAACUUAUGUGCAAAUCAGAUGGGCCUUUACACAAAUCAGGUCCUUUGUUAUUCCACGUAGUUGAAGUGUGGCAUUUCGCUUAGGGUUAACCCGUGUUCUUCUUCUUCGCCUCUCCAAAACCGAUGUUGCUUGUGUCUUCUCGAUCGCUCUUUCAACUUCUUCCAAAGAUGACGAAACAAUACCAGUUACCAAAUUUUCAUCUUAAAACUCUUCAUUAAUCUCUCAGACAUGAUCUCUAUUCUAUGAGAUUUCUGAUUCUGUAAGGCGGUGGAGGUUCAUCUAUAAAAAGACGGGCCGCUCCUCCUCCAUUGUUCAAGUCUGGUUGCUCUGUUUCUGGGAGGCUAGGAAUGUCCGCCGUGGUGGAGAGUUUAUGGGAGUGGUUAUGCUCCUAAUGGAUUCUCAGGCGACCAUGAUGCCGGCCCACCGUGAAUGUACACCGGCUUGCAACCCACAGGCCUCAUCUGAAAGCGGGUUCGGUUUGUUCCUUAACCGGGUUUGUUGUCACUCGAUGUAACCAAAACUCUCGACUGUCGGACUCUUCCCUGCAAAUCCUUUUUAGCGACUCAACCUCUUUCAAUGAGGUUCCGUAAUCACAGUGAAAUGAUCGGCCUUGCCAACGCAAACACUCAUCUUCCAGCCUAAUUGGUGAGAUAACUGUUGUGAAGAGUUCUGUCACCGACCCUCCUCAGGACAAGACCCAUGUUAUAGCGACCAUUAAGAUGGGAAAUCACAUGUCUGUGACCAUGAGUGUAACACCCCCGAACCGUUCUAGGCAUAGGUCGAUCGACCGGCCAACAAUCAAACAAGAACAUGACCGACGGACGACCCACACCAAGGGGUUGGAGAUGAAAGGCCAACCGGCC
Long non-coding RNA from Brassica napus (rape), 1290 nucleotides. RefSeq lists it as uncharacterized. The record is from RefSeq and is a predicted model, not a curated record. The transcript is spliced from 5 exons. NCBI's taxonomy places the organism in Eukaryota, Viridiplantae, Streptophyta, Magnoliopsida, Brassicales, Brassicaceae.